GAUCUCAUACAACCUCCCUGAUCAGCACAAGUACAGCUACCACCCAGAAAUUCAGGCAACUCACUUCCAUCUAUUAUCUCAAGCAAUUUGCUCUGGUACUUGUUGCCAAGAACAUGAAUCUUGCUAGCUGUUUGAGAAUCAAGAAACGAUUUCACUGUGUUCCAGAGCAACUUAAAACCAGGACCAGCAUUAAUUAUGAACAUUCGGUAAAGUGUCUCAGGGUAGUUGUCACCAUCAAUCGUUUGCAGCCUUAUGAUGAGCUCUCGAGCAGACUUGGUAAAGUUUUUCAAACCCACGCCUUGCACAUCCAAAAUAGUUGUACUUGAAUCUAUAUGCCUCUUUGCAGCAAUAGAGCAAGCUGGAAACUUAAUUGCAAAACUCUUUUCAAACUCCUGCACAUGA
RNAcentral lists this unclassified non-coding RNA (402 nucleotides) under Hevea brasiliensis (rubber tree). Lineage: Eukaryota; Viridiplantae; Streptophyta; Magnoliopsida; Malpighiales; Euphorbiaceae. The record is from RNAcentral.